Molecule: transfer RNA, 65 nt
Filed under: Paroster macrosturtensis
Lineage: Eukaryota; Metazoa; Arthropoda; Insecta; Coleoptera; Dytiscidae
Description: tRNA-Leu
Source: RNAcentral
GUUAUUUUGGCAGAUUAGUGCGAUGAAUUUAGAAUUCAAAAAUAUAAUUUUUAUUAUAGAUAAUA